AGUGAACGCUGGCGGUAGGCCUAACACAUGCAAGUCGAACGGCAGCACAGGAGAGCUUGCUCUCUGGGUGGCGAGUGGCGGACGGGUGAGGAAUACAUCGGAAUCUACUCUGUCGUGGGGGAUAACGUAGGGAAACUUACGCUAAUACCGCAUACGACCUACGGGUGAAAGCAGGGGACCUUCGGGCCUUGCGCGAUUGAAUGAGCUGAUGUCGGAUUAGCUAGUUGGCGGGGUAAAGGCCCACCAAGGCGACGAUCCGUAGCUGGUCGGAGAGGAUGAUCAGCCACACUGGAACUGAGACCCGGUCCAGACUCCUACGGGAGGCAGCAGUGGGGAAGAUUGGACAAUGGGCGCAAGCCUGAUCCAGCCAUACCGCGUGGGUGAAGAAGGCCUUCGGGUUGUAAAGCCCUUUUGUUGGGAAAGAAAUCCAGCUGGCUAAUACCCGGUUGGGAUGACGGUACCCAAAGAAUAAGCACCGGCUAACUUCGUGCCAGCCGCCGCCGUAA
Molecule: ribosomal RNA, 506 nt
Filed under: uncultured bacterium
Lineage: Bacteria
Description: partial 16S ribosomal RNA
Rfam family: Bacterial small subunit ribosomal RNA
Source: RNAcentral